This 680-nucleotide ribosomal RNA is filed under the name uncultured bacterium. RNAcentral's name for it is "partial 16S ribosomal RNA". It matches the Rfam family "Bacterial small subunit ribosomal RNA", at positions 636 to 1312 of the family's 1533-position model. The record is from RNAcentral.
CCAAUCUAGAGUNUCGGAGAGGAAAGUGGAAUUCCUAGUGUAGCGGUGAAAUGCGUAGAUAUUAGGAAGAACNCCAGUGGCGAAGGCGACUUUCUGGACGAAAACUGACGCUGAGGCGCGAAAGCCAGGGGAGCGAACGGGAUUAGAUACCCCGGUAGUCCUGGCCGUAAACGAUGGGUACUAGGUGUAGGAGGUAUCGACCCCUUCUGUGCCGGAGUUAACGCAAUAAGUACCCCGCCUGGGGAGUACGACCGCAAGGUUGAAACUCAAAGGAAUUGACGGGGGCCCGCACAAGCGGUGGAGUAUGUGGUUUAAUUCGACGCAACGCGAAGAACCUUACCAGGUCUUGACAUUGAUGGACAGAACUAGAGAUAGUUCCUCUUCUUCGGAAGCCAGAAAACAGGUGGUGCACGGUUGUCGUCAGCUCGUGUCGUGAGAUGUUGGGUUAAGUNNNNNNANNNNNNNCAACCCCUAUCUUAUGUUGCCAGCACGUAAAGGUGGGGACUCAUGAGAGACUGCCGCAGACAAUGCGGAGGAAGGCGGGGAUGACGUCAAAUCAUCAUGCCCCUUAUGACCUGGGCUACACACGUACUACAGUGGGAGUUAAUAGACGGAAGCGAGAUCGCGAGAUGGAGCAAACCCGAGAAACACUCUCUCAGUUCGGAUCGUAGGCUGCAACU